Molecule: transfer RNA, 73 nt
Organism: Ovis aries (sheep)
Lineage: Eukaryota; Metazoa; Chordata; Mammalia; Artiodactyla; Bovidae
Rfam family: tRNA
About the family: Transfer RNA (tRNA) molecules are approximately 80 nucleotides in length.
Source: Rfam
UCCCUGGUGGUCCAGUGGCUAAGACUCUGCAUUCUCAACGCAGGGGGCCUGAGUUCGAUCCCUGGUCAGGGAA